RNAcentral lists this ribosomal RNA (386 nucleotides) under uncultured prokaryote. RNAcentral's name for it is "bacterial SSU rRNA". It matches the Rfam family "Archaeal small subunit ribosomal RNA", at positions 339 to 725 of the family's 1478-position model. The record is from RNAcentral.
GCGCGAAAACUUUACAAUGCUGGCAACAGUGAUAAGGGAACCUCGAGUGCCAGGUUACAAAUCUGGCUGUCGAGAUGCCUCAAAAGCAUUUCAUAGCAAGGGCCGGGCAAGACCGGUGCCAGCCGCCGCGGUAACACCGGCGGCUCGAGUGGUAACCGUUAUUAUUGGGUCUAAAGGGUCUGUAGCCGGCCGGAUAAGUCUCUUGAGAAAUCUGGCAGCUUAACUGUCAGGCUUUCAGGAGAUACUGUCUGGCUCGAGGCCGGGAGAGGUGAGAGGUACUUCAGGGGUAGGGGUGAAAUCUUGUAAUCCUUGAAGGACCACCAGUGGCGAAGGCGUCUCACCAGAACGGACCUGACGGCAAGGGACGAAAGCUAGGGGCACGAACC